RNAcentral lists this ribosomal RNA (252 nucleotides) under uncultured prokaryote. RNAcentral describes it as "partial 16S rRNA". It matches the Rfam family "Archaeal small subunit ribosomal RNA", at positions 475 to 726 of the family's 1478-position model. The record is from RNAcentral.
ACCGGCAGCUCAAGUGGUGGCCAUUAUUAUUGUUCCUCCCUCUUUCUUCCCCGGGUUGAUAAGUCUCUGGUGAAAUCCCGCAGCUUAACUGUGGGACUUGCUGGAGAUACUAUCAGACUUGAGGUCGGGAGAGGUUAGGGGUACUCCCAGGGUAGGGGUGAAAUCCUAUAAUCCUGGGAGGACCACCUGUGGCGAAGGCGCCUAACUGGAACGAACCUGACGGUGAGUAACGAAAGCCAGGGGCGCGAACCG